GAAAUGCGAUAAGUAAUGUGAAUUGCAGAAUUCCGUGAAUCAUCGAAUCUUUGAACGCACAUUGCGCCCUCUGGUAUUCCGGGGGCAUGCCUGUCCGAGCGUCAUUGCGAACCCCUCAAGCACGGCUUGUGUGAUGGGCCCUCCCGCGUCUUGGUCGUCAAGACGGGCCCGAAAUGCAGUGGCGGCUUCGCGGUUAUCCGAUCAGCCAGAGCGUAUGGGGACUCUCUCUCUGUCACACGCCCGCGGCGCGGACCGACGCCUGUCGACCGUUAUUCAUCUUUUCUCGGUUGACCUCGGAUCAGGUAGGGAUACCCGCUGAACUUAAGC
RNAcentral lists this unclassified non-coding RNA (327 nucleotides) under plant metagenome. RNAcentral's name for it is "partial contains 5.8S ribosomal RNA, internal transcribed spacer 2, and large subunit ribosomal RNA". The stretch from base 1 to 104 matches the Rfam family "5.8S ribosomal RNA", at positions 50 to 154 of the family's 154-position model. The record is from RNAcentral.